UACGGGGGGGGCAAGCGUUGUUCGGAAUUACUGGGCGUAAAGGGCGCGUAGGCGGCCUGCUAAGUCGGACGUGAAAUCCCCCGGCUCAACCGGGGAACUGCGUCCGAUACUGGUGGGCUCGAAUCCGGGAGAGGGUCGCGGAAUUCCCGGUGUAGAGGUGAAAUUCGUAGAUAUCGGGAGGAACACCAGUGGCGAAGGCGGCGACCUGGGCCAAUACUGACGCUGAGGUGCGAAAGCGUGGGGAGCAAACAGG
RNAcentral lists this ribosomal RNA (253 nucleotides) under uncultured bacterium. RNAcentral's name for it is "partial 16S ribosomal RNA". It matches the Rfam family "Bacterial small subunit ribosomal RNA", at positions 524 to 776 of the family's 1533-position model. The record is from RNAcentral.